ACAACGUUCUUGAGUCAUUGGCAUACAUAUCAAACCACGACCAUGCGUUGCCAUAAAGUUAAUAGCUUGCGGCGUUACCAUUUCAGCCGCCAUGAUG
This 97-nucleotide non-coding RNA is filed under the name uncultured Colwellia sp. The record is from RNAcentral. Lineage: Bacteria; Pseudomonadati; Pseudomonadota; Gammaproteobacteria; Alteromonadales; Colwelliaceae.